AUACUUCCCUGGCAGGGGAGGUACCAUGAUCACGAAGGUGGUUUUCCCAGGGCGAGGCUUACCCAUUGCACCCCUGUGAUUUCCCAAAAUUCGGGAAACUCAACUGCAUAAUUUGUGGUAGUGGGGGGCUGCAUUCACACUCUCCCCUG
This 149-nucleotide small nuclear RNA is filed under the name Mus caroli (Ryukyu mouse). Its description in RNAcentral is "predicted gene, 26442 (MGP_CAROLIEiJ_G0035213.1)". It matches the Rfam family "U1 spliceosomal RNA". From Rfam's summary of the family: U1 is a small nuclear RNA (snRNA) component of the spliceosome (involved in pre-mRNA splicing). Its 5' end forms complementary base pairs with the 5' splice junction, thus defining the 5' donor site of an intron. The record is from RNAcentral. Lineage: Eukaryota; Metazoa; Chordata; Mammalia; Rodentia; Muridae.